GACGAACGCUGGCGGCGUGCUUAACACAUGCAAGUCGAACGGAAAGGCCCUGCUUUUGUGGGGUGCUCGAGUGGCGAACGGGUGAGUAACACGUGAGUAACCUGCCCUUGACUUUGGGAUAACUUCAGGAAACUGGGGCUAAUACCGGAUAGGAGCUCCUGCUGCAUGGUGGGGGUUGGAAAGUUUCGGCGGUUGGGGAUGGACUCGCGGCUUAUCAGCUUGUUGGUGGGGUAGUGGCUUACCAAGGCUUUAACGGGUAGCCGGCCUGAGAGGGUGACCGGCCACAUUGGGACUGAGAUACGGCCCAGACUCCUACGGGAGGCAGGAGUGGGGGAUAAUGCACGAUGGGCGGAAGCCUGAUGCAGCAACGCCGCGUGCUGGAUGACAGCCUUCGGGUUGUAAACCGGUUUCGCCGGUGACUGAAGGUGAGUGACGGUAAUGGGUAAAGAAGCACCGGCUAACUACGUG
RNAcentral lists this ribosomal RNA (468 nucleotides) under uncultured bacterium. RNAcentral describes it as "partial 16S ribosomal RNA". It matches the Rfam family "Bacterial small subunit ribosomal RNA", at positions 28 to 507 of the family's 1533-position model. The record is from RNAcentral.